RNAcentral lists this transfer RNA (73 nucleotides) under bacterium. RNAcentral's name for it is "tRNA-Thr". It matches the Rfam family "tRNA". Rfam says of the family: Transfer RNA (tRNA) molecules are approximately 80 nucleotides in length. Their secondary structure includes four short double-helical elements and three loops (D, anti-codon, and T loops). Further hydrogen bonds mediate the characteristic L-shaped molecular structure. tRNAs have two regions of fundamental functional importance: the anti-codon, which is responsible for specific mRNA codon recognition, and the 3' end, to which the tRNAs corresponding amino acid is attached (by aminoacyl-tRNA synthetases). tRNAs cope with the degeneracy of the genetic code in two manners: having more than one tRNA (with a specific anti-codon) for a particular amino acid; and 'wobble' base-pairing, i.e. permitting non-standard base-pairing at the 3rd anti-codon position. The record is from RNAcentral.
GCCCACGUAGCUCAGUUGGUAGAGCACGUCACUCGUAAUGAUGAGGUCACCAGUUCGACUCUGGUCGUGGGCU